CUUUGCUGGCGACCGGCGCACGGGUGAGUAACACGUAUCCAACCUGCCCUUUACUCGGGGAGUAGCCUUUCGAAAGAAAGAUUAAUACCCGAUAGCAUAAUGAUUCCGCAUGGUUUCAUUAUUAAAGGAUUCCGGUAAAGGAUGGGGAUGCGUUCCAUUAGGUUGUUGGUGAGGUAACGGCUCACCAAGCCUUCGAUGGAUAGGGGUUCUGAGAGGAAGGUCCCCCACAUUGGAACUGAGACACGGUCCAAACUCCUACGGGAGGCAGCAUG
Molecule: ribosomal RNA, 272 nt
Filed under: uncultured bacterium
Lineage: Bacteria
Description: partial 16S ribosomal RNA
Rfam family: Bacterial small subunit ribosomal RNA
Source: RNAcentral